GACUCGGUAGCUCAGUUGGUAGAGCACUUCACUUUUAAUGAAGGGGUCGAUGGUUCGAACCCAUCCCGAGUCACCA
This 76-nucleotide transfer RNA is filed under the name Pseudobdellovibrionaceae bacterium. Its description in RNAcentral is "Bdellovibrionaceae bacterium (activated sludge metagenome) tRNA-Lys". It matches the Rfam family "tRNA". Rfam says of the family: Transfer RNA (tRNA) molecules are approximately 80 nucleotides in length. Their secondary structure includes four short double-helical elements and three loops (D, anti-codon, and T loops). The record is from RNAcentral. Lineage: Bacteria; Pseudomonadati; Bdellovibrionota; Bdellovibrionia; Bdellovibrionales; Pseudobdellovibrionaceae.